Molecule: ribosomal RNA, 448 nt
Filed under: uncultured Gemmata sp.
Lineage: Bacteria; Pseudomonadati; Planctomycetota; Planctomycetia; Gemmatales; Gemmataceae
Description: bacterial SSU rRNA
Rfam family: Bacterial small subunit ribosomal RNA
Source: RNAcentral
CCUACGGGCGGCUGCAGUCGAGAAUCUUCGGCAAUGAGCGCAAGCUUGACCGAGCGACGCCGCGUGCGGGAUGAAGGCCUUCGGGUUGUAAACCGCUUUGGUCCGAAAGAAAGGGUAAAACUUGAUCGAUCGGAGAAACAAGGACGGGCUAAGUUCGUGCCAGCAGCCGCGGUAAGACGAACCGUCCAAACGUUAUUCGGAAUCACUGGGCUUAAAGGGCGCGUAGGCGGCCGAGCGGGUCACGGGUGAAAUCCUCCAGCUUAACUGGAGAACUGCCCUUGAUACCACUGCGGCUCGAGGAAGGAAGGGGUCAUGGGAACUGUCGGUGGAGCGGUGAAAUGCGUUGAUAUCGACAGGAACGCCGGUGGCGAAAGCGCAUGUCUGGUCCUUUUCUGACGCUGAGGCGCGAAAGCCAGGGGAGCAAACGGGAUUAGAUACCCCAGUAGUC